UGGGGAAUAUUGCACAAUGGGCGAAAGCCUGAUGCAGCAACGCCGCGUGAGCGAUGAAGGCCUUCGGGUCGUAAAGCUCUGUCCUCAAGGAAGAUAAUGACGGUACUUGAGGAGGAAGCCCCGGCUAACUACGUGCCAGCAGCCGCGGUAAUACGUAGGGGGCUAGCGUUAUCCGGAAUUACUGGGCGUAAAGGGUGCGUAGGUGGUUUCUUAAGUCAGAGGUGAAAGGCUACGGCUCAACCGUAGUAAGCCUUUGAAACUGGGAAACUUGAGUGCGGGAGAGGAGAGUGGAAUUCCUAGUGUAGCGGUGAAAUGCGUAGAUAUUAGGAGGAACACCAGUUGCGAAGGCGGCUCUCUGGACUGUAACUGACACUGAGGCACGAAAGCGUGGGGAGCAAACA
This 401-nucleotide ribosomal RNA is filed under the name uncultured bacterium. Its description in RNAcentral is "bacterial SSU rRNA". It matches the Rfam family "Bacterial small subunit ribosomal RNA", at positions 355 to 774 of the family's 1533-position model. The record is from RNAcentral.